Molecule: transfer RNA, 76 nt
Filed under: Desulfovibrionaceae bacterium
Lineage: Bacteria; Pseudomonadati; Thermodesulfobacteriota; Desulfovibrionia; Desulfovibrionales; Desulfovibrionaceae
Description: tRNA-Glu
Rfam family: tRNA
About the family: Transfer RNA (tRNA) molecules are approximately 80 nucleotides in length. Their secondary structure includes four short double-helical elements and three loops (D, anti-codon, and T loops). Further hydrogen bonds mediate the characteristic L-shaped molecular structure. tRNAs have two regions of fundamental functional importance: the anti-codon, which is responsible for specific mRNA codon recognition, and the 3' end, to which the tRNAs corresponding amino acid is attached (by aminoacyl-tRNA synthetases). tRNAs cope with the degeneracy of the genetic code in two manners: having more than one tRNA (with a specific anti-codon) for a particular amino acid; and 'wobble' base-pairing, i.e. permitting non-standard base-pairing at the 3rd anti-codon position.
Source: RNAcentral
GUCCCCAUCGUCUAGUGGCCUAGGACGUCGGCCUCUCACGCCGGGAACAGGGGUUCAAACCCCCUUGGGGACGCCA